GACGAACGCUGGCGGCGUGCUUAACACAUGCAAGUCGAACGGAAAGGCGCUGCUUUUGUGGCGUGCUCGAGUGGCGAACGGGUGAGUAACACGUGAGUAACCUGCCCUUGACUUUGGGAUAACUUCAGGAAACUGGGGCUAAUACCGGAUAGGAGCUCCUGCUGCAUGGUGGGGGUUGGAAAGUUUCGGCGGUUGGGGAUGGACUCGCGGCUUAUCAGCUUGUUGGUGGGGUAGUGGCUUACCAAGGCUUUGACGGGUAGCCGGCCUGAGAGGGUGACCGGCCACAUUGGGACUGAGAUACGGCCCAGACUCCUACGGGAGGCAGCAGUGGGGAAUAUUGCACAAUGGGCGGAAGCCUGAUGCAGCAACGCCGCGUGCGGGAUGACGGCCUUCGGGUUGUAAACCGCUUUCGCCUGUGACGAAGCGUGAGUGACGGUAAUGGGUAAAGAAGCACCGGCUAACUACGUG
Molecule: ribosomal RNA, 468 nt
Filed under: uncultured bacterium
Lineage: Bacteria
Description: partial 16S ribosomal RNA
Rfam family: Bacterial small subunit ribosomal RNA
Source: RNAcentral